AGUGGAUGGGGUGGGGCUGACUUUAUGAAUGGCAGGGCUGGAGGAUGGUGGGCUGGGAGAACCCCGAGGGGAUGCUGUGGACGCUGGGACUGCUCUGGCUUGAGAGACUUCCUCUUCAAAUUCCUGGUGAUUGGCAGUGCAGGAACUGGCAAAUCAUGUCUCCUUCAUCAGUUCAUUGAGAAUAAGUUCAAACAGGACUCCAACCACACAAUCGGCGUGGAGUUUGGAUCUCGGGUGGUCAACGUGGGUGGAAAGACUGUGAAGCUCCAGAUUUGGGACACAGCCGGCCAGGAGCGGUUUCGGUCGGUGACGCGGAGUUACUACCGAGGGGCGGCUGGAGCCCUGCUGGUGUAUGACAUCACCAGCCGGGAGACAUACAACUCGCUGGCCGCUUGGCUGACAGAUGCCCGCACGCUGGCCAGCCCCAAUAUCGUGGUCAUCCUCUGUGGCAACAAGAAAGACCUGGACCCGGAGCGCGAGGUCACUUUCCUGGAGGCCUCUCGCUUUGCCCAGGAGAACGAGCUAAUGUUCCUGGAGACUAGCGCCCUCACGGGUGAGAACGUGGAAGAGGCUUUCCUGAAGUGUGCCCGCACCAUCCUGAACAAGAUCGACUCAGGCGAGCUCGACCCCGAGAGGAUGGGCUCGGGCAUUCAGUACGGGGAUGCCUCCCUUCGCCAGCUGCGGCAGCCUCGGAGCGCCCAGGCCGUCACCCCUCAGCCAUGUGGCUGCUGAGAUGUGCACGGAGCCAGAACCACCCAUGGCUCCCAGGGUCCAUGGGACAGAGCCGAAGCUCAUAGCCUGGUGUUUGCCCCGCCAGCCUCACCUGCCUCAACUCAACACCUCUCCCCACCGCUCAGGCUGCUGCAGACACCCUGAAGUUCUUCCCGUUUCUCUGGGUCUUCAUUCAUGCUGUUCCCUCUGUCAGAAACACUGUUCCUUCCCUCUCUUCCCUCCUCCCCCUCCUUCCCCUCCUCCAGGAAGCCAUGCUUCCCCUAUGCUUGGUCCACACUUCUUGCUGGUCUUGCAGGGUCCUACAGGAUAAGGUCCCAUCCCCACCUCUUCGAGAGUGUGUGUGUUCUGCCAAUUCUCCCUGUGCUUCACAACUCCCCCCGCCUCCCCUGCCUCCCCUGCUUCCAGCCAUUGGUGGCUCCAGGGUGGCUGUGGGGAAAAGUGCUCAGACCUUGGAUAUACUUUGAAGGCAGAGCCAACAUGAAUUACUGAUGAAUGGAUGUGGCAUUUGAGAGAGAGGAGUCAAGGCUCAUCCGUUCUCCAGGACCAGCCCUGCCCUUCGGGCCGGGGCCCAGACCCAGGCCCUGGGAGGCCGAGCCCCUCACCUGUCCUGGCCCCAGAGAAGCUGCCCCGCCACCUGUCCCCCUUCCCUGGCCUGGUGGGGCCUGGCUGAGGGGCAAGACUGAGCCACGGGGGAAGGGGGAAUCCGUACCUGCUGCUGCUUCCUCUGUCUUGGCUAAUCCCCAUCCCCACAGAACCCCUAACCAUAUUCGAAGAGUUCCCAAAGCCUGAGACCAGGGCAUUUGGCCCCAGCUCCCCGCCAUUGCGAGUACGUGUUAUUUAUUGCCUGGAGGCCUGUCCAGUCCCCACCACCCCCAUAAAGCAUUGUUUACACCUG
This is an RNA transcript of Neogale vison (American mink), 1627 nucleotides long. It is a transcript of the gene named RAB4B, member RAS oncogene family, with no coding region annotated. The record is from RefSeq and is a predicted model, not a curated record. Lineage: Eukaryota; Metazoa; Chordata; Mammalia; Carnivora; Mustelidae. The transcript is spliced from 9 exons.